Molecule: transfer RNA, 62 nt
Filed under: Neomysis awatschensis
Lineage: Eukaryota; Metazoa; Arthropoda; Malacostraca; Mysida; Mysidae
Description: tRNA-Trp
Source: RNAcentral
UAAGGGUUAAGUUAAACAAACUGUUAUCCUUCAAAGAUAAAUUUACUAUAAAGUACCUUUAA